GAGCUUGCUCCUUUGACGUUAGCGGCGGACGGGUGAGUAACACGUGGAUAACCUACCUAUAAGACUGGGAUAACUUCGGGAAACCGGAGCUAAUACCGGAUAACAUAUUGAACCGCAUGGUUCAAUAGUGAAAGGCGGCUUUGCUGUCACUUAUAGAUGGAUCCGCGCCGUAUUAGCUAGUUGGUAAGGUAACGGCUUACCAAGGCAACGAUACGUAGCCGACCUGAGAGGGUGAUCGGCCACACUGGAACUGAGACACGGUCCAGACUCCUACGGGAGGCAGCAGUAGGGAAUCUUCCGCAAUGGGCGAAAGCCUGACGGAGCAACGCCGCGUGAGUGAUGAAGGUCUUCGGAUCGUAAAACUCUGUUAUCAGGGAAGAACAAAUGUGUAAGUAACUGUGCACAUCUUGACGGUACCUGAUCAGAAAGCCACGGCUAACUACGUGCCAGCAGCCGCGGUAAUACGUAGGUGGCAAGCGUUAUCCGGAAUUAUUGGGCGUAAAGCGCGCGUAGGCGGUUUUUUAAGUCUGAUGUGAAAGCCCACGGCUCAACCGUGGAGGGUCAUUGGAAACUGGAAAACUUGAGUGCAGAAGAGGAAAGUGGAAUUCCAUGUGUAGCGGUGAAAUGCGCAGAGAUAUGGAGGAACACCAGUGGCGACGACUUUCUGGUCUGUAACUGACGCUGAUGUGCGAAAGCGUGGGGAUCAAACAGGAUUAGAUACCCUGGUAGUCCACGCCGU
This 739-nucleotide ribosomal RNA is filed under the name Staphylococcus sp. EA19(2012). Its description in RNAcentral is "bacterial SSU rRNA". It matches the Rfam family "Bacterial small subunit ribosomal RNA", at positions 76 to 803 of the family's 1533-position model. The record is from RNAcentral. Lineage: Bacteria; Bacillati; Bacillota; Bacilli; Caryophanales; Staphylococcaceae.